GACCAGACUCCUACGGGAGGCAGCAGUGGGGAAUAUUGCACAAUGGGGGAAACCCUGAUGCAGCGACGCCGCGUGAGUGAAGAAGUAUUUCGGUAUGUAAAGCUCUAUCAGCAGGGAAGAAAAUGACGGUACCUGACUAAGAAGCCCCGGCUAACUACGUGCCAGCAGCCGCGGUAAUACGUAGGGGGCAAGCGUUAUCCGGAUUUACUGGGUGUAAAGGGAGCGUAGACGGCAUGGCAAGUCAGAUGUGAAAGCCCGGGGCUCAACCCCGGGACUGCAUUUGAAACUGUCAGGCUGGAGUGCAGGAGAGGUAAGUGGAAUUCCUAGUGUAGCGGUGAAAUGCGUAGAUAUUAGGAGGAACACCAGUGGCGAAGGCGGCUUACUGGACUGUAGCUGACGUUGAGGCUCGAAAGCGUGGGGAGCAAACAGGAUUAGAUACCCCUGUA
This 446-nucleotide ribosomal RNA is filed under the name uncultured bacterium. Its description in RNAcentral is "bacterial SSU rRNA". It matches the Rfam family "Bacterial small subunit ribosomal RNA", at positions 329 to 792 of the family's 1533-position model. The record is from RNAcentral.